This 210-nucleotide ribosomal RNA is filed under the name uncultured bacterium. RNAcentral describes it as "partial 16S ribosomal RNA". It matches the Rfam family "Bacterial small subunit ribosomal RNA", at positions 28 to 236 of the family's 1533-position model. The record is from RNAcentral.
GACGAACGCUGGCGGCGUGCUUAACACAUGCAAGUCGAGCGGUAAGGCCCUUUCGGGGGUACGACGAGCGGCGAAUGGGUGAGUAACACGUGGGUGACCUGCCCUCCAGCUCUGGGAGUGAGCCUGGGAAACCGGGUCUAAUACUGGAUAUGACUCCAUGACGCAUGUUGUGGGGUGGAAAGCCUUGUGCAGCUGAGGAUGGGCCCGCGG